Molecule: ribosomal RNA, 415 nt
Filed under: bacterium LGM62
Lineage: Bacteria
Description: bacterial SSU rRNA
Rfam family: Bacterial small subunit ribosomal RNA
Source: RNAcentral
UGCAAGUCGAGCGGUAGAGAGAAGCUUGCUUCUCUUGAGAGCGGCGGACGGGUGAGUAAUGCCUAGGAAUCUGCCUGGUAGUGGGGGAUAACGUUCGGAAACGGACGCUAAUACCGCAUACGUCCUACGGGAGAAAGCAGGGGACCUUCGGGCCUUGCGCUAUCAGAUGAGCCUAGGUCGGAUUAGCUAGUUGGUGAGGUAAUGGCUCACCAAGGCGACGAUCCGUAACUGGUCUGAGAGGAUGAUCAGUCACACUGGAACUGAGACACGGUCCAGACUCCUACGGGAGGCAGCAGUGGGGAAUAUUGGACAAUGGGCGAAAGCCUGAUCCAGCCAUGCCGCGUGUGUGAAGAAGGUCUUCGGAUUGUAAAGCACUUUAAGUUGGGAGGAAGGGUUGUAGAUUAAUACUCUGCAA